ACGAAGGGGGCGAGCGUUGUUCGGAAUUACUGGGCGUAAAGGGCGCGCAGGCGGCUCUGAAAGUCAGAUGUGAAAGCCCCGGGCUUAACCUGGGAAUUGCAUUUGAUACUCUGGAGCUUGAGUACGGGAGAGGAGAGUGGAAUUCCCAGUGUAGAGGUGAAAUUCGUAGAUAUUGGGAAGAACACCGAUGGCGAAAGCGACUUCCUGGACCAGUACCGACGUUCAGGCACGAAAGCGUGGGGAGCAAACAGGA
This 253-nucleotide ribosomal RNA is filed under the name uncultured prokaryote. Its description in RNAcentral is "partial 16S ribosomal RNA". It matches the Rfam family "Bacterial small subunit ribosomal RNA", at positions 525 to 777 of the family's 1533-position model. The record is from RNAcentral.